This is an unclassified non-coding RNA of Macaca mulatta (Rhesus monkey), 148 nucleotides long. It matches the Rfam family "Metazoan signal recognition particle RNA". From Rfam's summary of the family: The signal recognition particle (SRP) is a universally conserved ribonucleoprotein. It is involved in the co-translational targeting of proteins to membranes. The record is from Ensembl. Lineage: Eukaryota; Metazoa; Chordata; Mammalia; Primates; Cercopithecidae.
GCUGGGCAUGGUGGCAUAUGCCUGUAAUUCCAGCUACUCAGAAGGCUGAGGCAGGAUAAUUGCUUGAACUCAGGAGACGGAGAGUGCAGUGAGCUGAGAUUGAGUCACUGCACUCCAGCCUGGGUGACAGAGCAAGACUCUGUCUUAA